This 253-nucleotide ribosomal RNA is filed under the name uncultured bacterium. RNAcentral describes it as "partial 16S ribosomal RNA". It matches the Rfam family "Bacterial small subunit ribosomal RNA", at positions 524 to 776 of the family's 1533-position model. The record is from RNAcentral.
UACGUAGGCAGCAAGCGUUGUUCGGAGUUACUGGGCGUAAAGGGUGUGUAGGCGGCCUGUUAAGUUCCGUGUGAAAUCUCCCGGCUCAACUGGGAGGGUGCGGCGGAAACUGGAGUGCUCGAGUGUGGGAGAGGUAAGCGGAAUUCCUGGUGUAGCGGUGAAAUGCGUAGAUAUCAGGAGGAACACCUGUGGUGUAGACAGCUUACUGGACCACGACUGACGCUGAGACACGAAAGCGUGGGUAGCAAACAGG